AGGGGGCCUCAGGGCCCCCCCCCCAGCUAUGGACGAACGGCUACUGGGGCCGCCCCCUCCAGGCGGGGGCCGGGGGGGCCUGGGAUUGGUGAGUGGGGAGCCUGGGGGCCCUGGCGAGCCUCCCGGUGGCGGAGACCCCGGUGGGGGUAGCGGGGGGGUCCCGGGAGGCCGAGGGAAGCAAGACAUCGGGGACAUUCUGCAGCAGAUAAUGACCAUCACCGACCAGAGCCUGGACGAGGCCCAGGCCAAGAAACACGCCCUAAACUGCCACCGAAUGAAGCCUGCUCUCUUUAGCGUCCUGUGUGAAAUCAAGGAGAAAACCGGCCUCAGCAUUCGGAGCUCCCAGGAGGAGGAGCCGGUGGACCCACAGCUGAUGCGCUUGGACAACAUGCUUCUGGCAGAGGGUGUGGCUGGGCCCGAGAAAGGGGGCGGCUCAGCAGCAGCAGCUGCAGCCGCUGCAGCCUCUGGUGGUGGCGUGUCCCCUGACAACUCCAUCGAACACUCGGACUAUCGCAGCAAACUUGCCCAGAUCCGUCACAUAUACCACUCGGAGCUGGAGAAGUAUGAGCAGGCAUGUAAUGAGUUCACGACCCAUGUCAUGAACCUGCUGAGGGAGCAGAGCCGCACCAGGCCCGUGGCCCCCAAAGAGAUGGAACGCAUGGUGAGCAUCAUCCAUCGAAAGUUCAGCGCCAUCCAGAUGCAGCUGAAGCAGAGCACCUGCGAGGCUGUGAUGAUCCUGCGCUCCCGUUUCCUGGAUGCCAGACGAAAGCGCCGUAACUUCAGCAAACAGGCCACUGAGGUCCUAAAUGAGUAUUUCUACUCCCACCUGAGUAACCCAUAUCCUAGUGAGGAGGCCAAGGAGGAGCUUGCCAAGAAGUGUGGCAUCACCGUGUCUCAGGUCUCCAACUGGUUUGGCAACAAGAGGAUUCGCUAUAAGAAAAACAUCGGAAAGUUCCAAGAGGAGGCAAACAUCUAUGCUGUCAAGACCGCCGUGUCAGUCACCCAGGGGGGCCACAGCCGCACCAGCUCCCCGACACCCCCUUCCUCUGCAGGUGGAUCCCACUGUCACCCCGGCUGACUGUUUUGCACACUUCCUGCUUUUGUUCCCACUUCCUAUCUAGGCAGGAUCAUAGCAGAGAGGGGGCCUUUUGGGGUGAGAGGGACCGAGCUGAGAUAGGCUGGAGAUGUCAGGGGACAGAGGCCAUUCCAGUGAUCUUAGUUCUGCCUUUCUUCCCACGGGUGGCCAAGGAACAGCCUGCUCUUUCUGUGUGUUGGAAUGUUAUUUUGUGGAUAAUUGGAGUAUAGUAGCAUGUCCCCACAA
Molecule: small RNA, 1321 nt
Filed under: Pan troglodytes (chimpanzee)
Lineage: Eukaryota; Metazoa; Chordata; Mammalia; Primates; Hominidae
Description: retained intron
Source: RNAcentral